This 459-nucleotide ribosomal RNA is filed under the name uncultured bacterium. RNAcentral's name for it is "bacterial SSU rRNA". It matches the Rfam family "Bacterial small subunit ribosomal RNA", at positions 28 to 523 of the family's 1533-position model. The record is from RNAcentral.
GACGAACGCUGGCGGUGUGCUUCACACAUGCAAGUCGAACGAGGUAGCAAUACCUAGUGGCGGACGGGUGAGUAACGCGUGGGAAUCUGCCCUGGGGUGGGGGAUAACUAGCCGAAAGGUUAGCUAAUACCGCAUAUGCCGUGAGGUAAAAGGAGUAAUCCGCCCGAGGAUGAGCCUGCGUCCGAUUAGCUAGUUGGUAGGGUAAAAGCCUACCAAGGCUACGAUCGGUAGCUGGUCUGAGAGGAUGAUCAGCCACAAUGGGACUGAGACACGGCCCAUACUCCUACGGGAGGCAGCAGUGGGGAAUUUUACGCAAUGGGGGGAAACCCUGACGUAGCGACACCGCGUGAGCGAAGAAGCCCUUUGGGGUGUAAAGGCUCUGUCAGCAGGAACGAAAAUAAAUAUAGACGGUACCUGCAGAGGAAGCAUCGGCUAACUACGUGCCAGCAGCCGCGGUAA